UACAGAGGUCUCAAGCGUUGUUCGGAUUCAUUGGGCGUAAAGGGUGCGUAGGCGGUCCAUCGCGUCGGGAGUGAAAAGCUGGGGCUCAACCCCAGUCCUGCUUCCGAUACGGGUGGACUAGAGGUAUGCAGGGGAGAACGGAAUUCCUGGUGUAGCGGUGAAAUGCGCAGAUAUCAGGAGGAACACCGGUGGCGAAGGCGGUUCUCUGGGCAUUACCUGACGCUGAGGAGCGAAAGCGUGGGGAGCAAACAGG
RNAcentral lists this ribosomal RNA (253 nucleotides) under uncultured bacterium. Its description in RNAcentral is "partial 16S ribosomal RNA". It matches the Rfam family "Bacterial small subunit ribosomal RNA", at positions 524 to 776 of the family's 1533-position model. The record is from RNAcentral.